This is a long non-coding RNA of Coffea eugenioides, 989 nucleotides long. RefSeq lists it as uncharacterized. NCBI's taxonomy places the organism in Eukaryota, Viridiplantae, Streptophyta, Magnoliopsida, Gentianales, Rubiaceae. The transcript is spliced from 4 exons. The record is from RefSeq and is a predicted model, not a curated record.
AUACAACGUGCCAAGAGGUUUCGUCAUCGUCAUGUGCCGCUCACGUAAGUUUUGUAAGUUCGCGCUUCUCCAGAUGCUCCAUUGAAAUGGUUCGGGUAAUUGGGCUGCCCAUGAGUUUUCUGCUUUGGAAUGGAUGCCGUACCAGUUUCUUUCCUUUCCCGACUCUCCCAGCUGCAUUGUCCGGAGGUAACAGCAGACCUUUCUCAAGAAUGGUAAUUGGCGUGAUAUAUCAUGGCUAUCUCUUCCGCUGGCGUCCGAGUUCCAAGACGGGUUGGCUGUGCCCCUUUUUCCUAGGGUUUUCUCAUCUGCUUUCUCAUUUCGAUUUUCUCAAAUUGGUUGUGCCCUUGAACCGGCUCCCCUUUUUGAGCUCCUUCCUCUCACCGCCUUCUCUGGCCAGCUUGGUUGCGAACUUGGUUACAUCUUCUUAGUGCUAUUUUCCGGUCUCGCCGAGCUUCUUUUACUGCAGGCACUCAACAAUAGUUAUUGCUAUCGGGACUAUUCGCAUAUCUGAGGUCAACAGAUCUACACUUGAGUGGACCACACUGCUUUAUGUUUUCUAGGUUGGUCGUGUGAAAAUUGCCCACACGGGGACACUGAGAGUUGGCAAGGACUUCAAAUUUAAAACUGGUUAUGAUUCAGAUGUGCAACUAGGGUGGACAUCUCUUUGGAUUGAAGAGGAAGAUGGCAAAGCUAAUAUAGCUCCCAUGAAGAUGAAAGUUUAGUUCACGCUCCAGGUGCCCCCCAAGAUGAUAUCAAAUCCUCUGCUUUGACGUUCGGUGUGAAAAAGAGAUGGGACAUAUGACUUAAAAGGUUUCACAGUGAUGAUCUCUUCUUUUUUCACUGCAAUGAUGAACGUGGUGUAUCCGAAAAAAAGAAGAAGAUGAACAUGGUGUAUCAAGUGAUAGUGCAGGCUUGAGUAUAGGUGUUGUAAUCAAUAUUGCUAUGCCAAAUAGGUCACCAUAUUGGGUAGAAGAUUACCUUUAUUAUGA